CAUCAGAUGACUGAAAGCAAGUAGUGGUCUCUUAAACCAGUUCAUGGUACCGUAGCAAGUAUCUCUGAUGA
RNAcentral lists this transfer RNA (71 nucleotides) under Nasutitermes matangensis. RNAcentral's name for it is "tRNA-Lys". The record is from RNAcentral. Lineage: Eukaryota; Metazoa; Arthropoda; Insecta; Blattodea; Termitidae.